RNAcentral lists this ribosomal RNA (1259 nucleotides) under metagenome. Its description in RNAcentral is "bacterial SSU rRNA". It matches the Rfam family "Bacterial small subunit ribosomal RNA", at positions 251 to 1498 of the family's 1533-position model. The record is from RNAcentral.
GGUGAGGUAACAGCUCACCAAGGCGAUGACGGGUAGCCGGACUGAGAGGUUGGCCGGUCACACUGGGACUGAGACACUGCCCAGACUCCUACGGGAGGCUGCAGUCGAGAAUCUUCCGCAAUGGGCGCAAGCCUGACGGAGCGACGCCGCGUGGGGGAUGAAGGCCUUCGGGUUGUAAACCCCUGUCACGAGUUAUGAAACGCCAUGCGUUAAUACCGUAUGGUCUGACAAAGGCUCGAGAGGAAGUCAUGGCUAACUCCGUGCCAGCAGCCGCGGUAAUACGGAGAUGGCAAGCGUUGCUCGGAAUCACUGGGCAUAAAGGGCGUCUAGGCGGAUCGACAAGUCGGCUGUGAAAGUCCUCGGCUCACCCGAGGAAGUGCAUCCGAAACUGCCGGUCUUGAGGACGAGAGGGGAGAGUGGAACUCCUGGUGGAGCGGUGAAAUGCGUAGAUAUCAGGAGGAACGCCGUGGCGAAAGCGACUCUCUGGCUCGUUCCUGACGCUGAAGCGCGAAAGCUAGGGGAGCGAACGGGAUUAGAUACCCCGGUAGUCCUAGCCGUAAACGAUGAGCACUAAGUAGUGGCGAAUCGAUGUCGUCAUUGCCGCAGCUAAUGUGUUAAGUGCUCCGCCUGGGGAGUAUGGUCGCAAGGCUAAAACUCAAAGGAAUUGACGGGGGCUCACACAAGCGGUGGAGGAUGUUGCUUAAUUCGAUUCAACGCGAAGAACCUUACCUGGGCUUGACAUCACGGUGGUAGGACCCUGAAAGGGGAACGACCCGGGGCAACCUGGGAGCCGCGACAGGUGUUGCAUGGCUGUCGUCAGCUCGUGCCGUGAGGUGUUGGGUUAAGUCCCGUAACGAGCGAAACCCUUGUCGUUAGUUGCCAGCGAGUAAUGUCGGGGACUCUAACGAGACUGCCGGUGUCAAACCGGAGGAAGGUGGGGACGACGUCAAGUCAUCAUGGCCCUUACGCCCAGGGCUGCAAACGUCCUACAAUGGCGCGUACAAAGGGAAGCGAACUCGCAAGAGCAAGCCAAUCCCAUAAAGCGCGUCUCAGUUCGGAUUGUGGGCUGAAAUUCGCCCACAUGAAGUCGGAAUCGCUAGUAAUCGCGGAUCAGCAUGCCGCGGUGAAUAUGUUCCUGAGCCUUGUACACACCGCCCGUCAAGCCACGGAAGCCGGGAGUGCCCGAAGCCCGUGACCUAACCUUUGGAAGGAGCGGUCGACGGUAAGCCCGGUGACUGGGACUAAGUCGUAACAAGGUA